AGGGGAGUGGUCAGGAAAACGGCCAGGGAAGUGGUCAGGGAAGCGGUUAUGGUCAGGGGAGAGGUCAGGGAAGCAGUUAUGGUCAGGGGAGCGGUCAAGGAAGCGGAAGUGGUCAGGGAAGCGGUUAUGGUCAGGGGAGAGGUCGGGGAAGCAGUUAUGGUCAGGGGAGCGGUCAGGAAAGCGGCCAGGGGAGCGGUCAGGGAAGCGGUCAUGGUCAGGGGAGCGGUCAGGGGAGCGGAAGUGGUCAGGGGAGAGGGAAGUGGUCAGGGAAGCGGUUAUGGUCAGGGGAGAGGUCAGGGAAGCAGUUAUGGUCAGGGAAGUGGUCAGGGAAGCGGUUAUGGUCAGGGGAGCGGUCAGGGGAGCGGAAGUGGUCAGGGAAGCGGUUAUGGUCAGGGAAGCAGUUAUGGUCAGGGAAGCGGUUAUGGUCAGGGAAGCGGUCAGGGGAUCGGUCAUGGUCAGGGGAGCGGUCAGGGAAGCGGUCAUGGUCAGGGGAGCGGUUAUGGUCAGGGGAGCGGUCAGGGGAACGGUCAUGGGCAGGGGAACGGUUAGGGGAGCGGUCAGGGAAGCGGUCAUGGUCAGGGGAGCGGUUAUGGUCAGGGGAGUGGUCAGGGAAGGGGAAGCGGUCAGGGAAGGGGUCAUGGUCAGGGGAGAGGUCGUGGUCAGG
Long non-coding RNA from Sinocyclocheilus anshuiensis, 664 nucleotides. RefSeq lists it as uncharacterized. The transcript is spliced from 7 exons. The record is from RefSeq and is a predicted model, not a curated record. Lineage: Eukaryota; Metazoa; Chordata; Actinopteri; Cypriniformes; Cyprinidae.